RNAcentral lists this non-coding RNA (27 nucleotides) under Homo sapiens (human). Lineage: Eukaryota; Metazoa; Chordata; Mammalia; Primates; Hominidae. The record is from RNAcentral.
CCCAGGAUUCCUCGGAUGGUAACGGAC